AUUCUAGUAAAUGAUGUUGAACUUUUUUCCCCGUCAUAUCGAUCAUGGUGAAUAGCAAAAUAUUAAAGCCAAAAUAUUCUGACACUAGAGC
Molecule: small nucleolar RNA, 91 nt
Organism: Callorhinchus milii (elephant shark)
Lineage: Eukaryota; Metazoa; Chordata; Chondrichthyes; Chimaeriformes; Callorhinchidae
Source: Ensembl